CCCUUCGGGGUGUGACUGCGUACCUUUUGUAUAAUGGGUCAGCGACUUAUAUUCUGUAGCAAGGUUAACCGUAUAGGGGAGCCGGAGGGAAACCGAGUCUUAAUUGGGCGUUAAGUUGCAGGGUAUAGACCCGAAACCCGGUGAUCUAGCCAUGGGCAGGUUGAAGGUUGGGUAACACUAACUGGAGGACCGAACCGACUAAUGUUGAAAAAUUAGCGGAUGACCUGUGGCUGGGGGUGAAAGGCCAAUCAAACCGGGAGAUAGCUGGUUCUCCCCGAAAGCUAUUUAGGUAGCGCCUCGUGAAUUCAUCUCCGGGGGUAGAGCACUGUUUCGGCUAGGGGGCCAUCCCGGCUUACCAACCCGAUGCAAACUGCGAAUACCGGAGAAUGUUAUCACGGGAGACACACGGCGGGUGCUAACGUCCGUCGUGAAGAGGGAAACAACCCAGACCGCCAGCUAAGGUCCCAAAGUCAUGGUUAAGUGGGAAACGAUGUGGGAAGGCCCAGACAGCCAGGAUGUUGGCUUAGAAGCAGCCAUCAUUUAAAGAAAGCGUAAUAGCUCACUGGUCGAGUCGGCCUGCGCGGAAGAUGUAACGGGGCUAAACCAUGCACCGAAGCUGCGGCAGCGAACGUAUCACCCAAGACAACUUUACGGAGUUGACGAUUGACGGAGCGAAGCGACGUCAAAGCGUUCAUUAAAGUCGAGUUGGCUUAGGGAUACGUUCGUUGGGUAGGGGAGCGUUCUGUAAGCCUGUGAAGGUGUGUCGUGAGGCAUGCUGGAGGUAUCAGAAGUGCGAAUGCUGACAUAAGUAACGAUAAAGCGGGUGAAAAGCCCGCUCGCCGGAAGACCAAGGGUUCCUGUCCAACGUUAAUCGGGGCAGGGUGAGUCGACCCCUAAGGCGAGGCCGAAAGGCGUAGUCGAUGGGAAACGGGUUAAUAUUCCCGUACUUGGUGUUACUGCGAAGGGGGGACGGAGAAGG
This 979-nucleotide ribosomal RNA is filed under the name Salmonella enterica subsp. enterica serovar Typhimurium. RNAcentral's name for it is "partial 23S ribosomal RNA". It matches the Rfam family "Bacterial large subunit ribosomal RNA", at positions 582 to 1481 of the family's 2925-position model. Lineage: Bacteria; Pseudomonadati; Pseudomonadota; Gammaproteobacteria; Enterobacterales; Enterobacteriaceae. The record is from RNAcentral.